This 394-nucleotide long non-coding RNA is filed under the name Astyanax mexicanus (Mexican tetra). Its description in RNAcentral is "lncRNA (ENSAMXG00005002888.1)". The record is from RNAcentral. Lineage: Eukaryota; Metazoa; Chordata; Actinopteri; Characiformes; Acestrorhamphidae.
GGAGGAGCCACAUGAGGAGGAGAGAAAAGAUGAGUGCAAAAGUCUGGCAGAGGACCUUGGACAGCUCACAAAGCACAUCCCCUUUGAAAGCAUUGGGAAAAGACUGGCUGAGGGCAACAAAAACAUACCAUCUGCUAUUGUAAAAGUUGAAGAAUUGAGUGCUGAACUACAGGAAGUGGAGAAAGUCCUUAAUGAACACUUUGAGACCUAUAACAAGGUCACACACACGCUUGGGCCCAGUGUCAGCCAUGUGGUGUUCAGUUUGAUAAAACAGUGCCUAACUGCAAAAAUGACUGCUCUAGAAGAGAUGAACAGCUGCUGAUCAGCUUAGUUGUUUUUUUUUGUACAUAUGCACAUUGUUCAAAUUGCACAUUGUUUAAAAAAAAAAAAAAAA